GACGAACGCUGGCGGCGUGCUUAACACAUGCAAGUCGAACGGAAAGGCCUUUUCGGAGGUACUCGAGUGGCGAACGGGCGAGUAACACGUGGGUGAUCUGCCCUGCACUCUGGGAUAAGCCUGGGAAACUGGGUCUAAUACCGGAUAGGACCGCACUUUAGUGUGUGUGGUGGAAAGUUUUUUCGGUGUAGGAUGAGCCCGCGGCCUAUCAGCUUGUUGGUGGGGUAAUGGCCUACCAAGGCGGCGACGGGUAGCCGGACUGAGAGGUUGGUCGGCCACAUUGGGACUGAGAUACGGCCCAGACUCCUACGGGAGGCAGCAGUGGGGAAUAUUGCACAAUGGGCGCAAGCCUGAUGCAGCGACGCCGCGUGGGGGAUGACGGCCUUCGGGUUGUAAACUCCUUUCGCCAGGGACGAAGCGUUUUGUGACGGUACCUGGAGAAGAAGCACCGGCUAACUACGUG
This 463-nucleotide ribosomal RNA is filed under the name uncultured bacterium. RNAcentral's name for it is "partial 16S ribosomal RNA". It matches the Rfam family "Bacterial small subunit ribosomal RNA", at positions 28 to 507 of the family's 1533-position model. The record is from RNAcentral.